RNAcentral lists this ribosomal RNA (500 nucleotides) under uncultured bacterium. RNAcentral's name for it is "bacterial SSU rRNA". It matches the Rfam family "Bacterial small subunit ribosomal RNA", at positions 28 to 526 of the family's 1533-position model. The record is from RNAcentral.
GAUGAACGCUAGCGGCAGGCCUAAUACAUGCAAGUCGAACGAGCUUGUCUUCUUCGGAAGACAGGUUAGUGGCGCACGGGUGCGUAACGCGUAUGCAACCUACCUUCCACUGGGGGAUAGCCCCGGGAAACCGGGAUUAAUACCGCAUGACACUGUUUGAGGGCAUCCGAAGACAGUCAAAGCUGAGGCGGUGGAAGAUGGGCAUGCGUGCCAUUAGCUAGUUGGUGGUGUAACGGACCACCAAGGCGACGAUGGCUAGGGGUUCUGAGAGGAUGGUCCCCCACACUGGUACUGAGACACGGACCAGACUCCUACGGGAGGCAGCAGUAGGGAAUAUUGGGCAAUGGCCGAGAGGCUGACCCAGCCAUGCCGCGUGCAGGAAGAAGGCCUUCUGGGUUGUAAACUGCUUUUAUCAGGGAAGAAAACGCUCCUGCGGGAGUAACUGACGGUACCUGAUGAAUAAGCACCGGCUAACUCCGUGCCAGCAGCCGCGGUAAUAC